GACAGAGGGUGCAAACGUUGUUCGGAAUUAUUGGGCGUAAAGCGAGUGUAGGCGGUUCGGUAAGUCGGAUGUGAAAGCCCCGGGCUCAACCCGGGAAGUGCACUCGAUACUGCCGAGCUAGAGUAUCGGAGAGGUUGGUGGAAUUCUCGGUGUAGAGGUGAAAUUCGUAGAUAUCGAGAGGAACACCGGUGGCGAAGGCGGCCAACUGGACGAAUACUGACGCUGAGACUCGAAAGCGUGGGGAGCAAACAGG
Molecule: ribosomal RNA, 253 nt
Filed under: uncultured bacterium
Lineage: Bacteria
Description: partial 16S ribosomal RNA
Rfam family: Bacterial small subunit ribosomal RNA
Source: RNAcentral